CCUGGUGGCUCAGUUGGUAAAGAAUCUGCCUGCAAUGCAGGAGACCCGGGUUCGAUCCCUGGGUCAGGA
Molecule: transfer RNA, 69 nt
Filed under: Bos taurus (domestic cattle)
Lineage: Eukaryota; Metazoa; Chordata; Mammalia; Artiodactyla; Bovidae
Also listed under: 5 other names
Rfam family: tRNA
About the family: Transfer RNA (tRNA) molecules are approximately 80 nucleotides in length.
Source: Rfam by way of RNAcentral